RNAcentral lists this non-coding RNA (23 nucleotides) under Arabidopsis thaliana (thale cress). Lineage: Eukaryota; Viridiplantae; Streptophyta; Magnoliopsida; Brassicales; Brassicaceae. The record is from RNAcentral.
GAUGCUUGUUAUUUUGAGUCAUU